CAAGUCGAACGGCAGCACGGACUUCGGUCUGGUGGCGAGUGGCGAACGGGUGAGUAAUGUAUCGGAACGUGCCUAGUAGCGGGGGAUAACUACGCGAAAGCGUAGCUAAUACCGCAUACGCCCUACGGGGGAAAGCAGGGGAUCGCAAGACCUUGCACUAUUAGAGCGGCCGAUAUCGGAUUAGCUAGUUGGUGAGGUAACGGCUCACCAAGGCGGCGAUCCGUAGCUGGUUUGAGAGGACGACCAGCCACACUGGGACUGAGACACGGCCCAGACUCCUACGGGAGGCAGCAGUGGGGAAUUUUGGACAAUGGGGGAAACCCUGAUCCAGCCAUCCCGCGUGUGCGAUGAAGGCCUUCGGGUUGUAAAGCACUUUUGGCAGGAAAGAAACGUCAUGGGCUAAUACCCCGUGAAACUGACGGUACCUGCAGAAUAAGCACCGGCUAACUACGUGCCAGCAGCCGCGGUAAUACGUAGGGUGCAAGCGUUAAUCGGAAUUACUGGGCGUAAAGCGUGCGCAGGCGGUUCGGAAAGAAAGAUGUGAAAUCCCAGAGCUCAACUUUGGAACUGCAUUUUUAACUACCGGGCUAGAGUGUGUCAGAGGGAGGUGGAAUUCCGCGUGUAGCAGUGAAAUGCGUAGAUAUGCGGAGGAACACCGAUGGCGAAGGCAGCCUCCUGGGAUAACACUGACGCUCAUGCACGAAAGCGUGGGAGCAAACAGG
Molecule: ribosomal RNA, 722 nt
Filed under: uncultured Achromobacter sp.
Lineage: Bacteria; Pseudomonadati; Pseudomonadota; Betaproteobacteria; Burkholderiales; Alcaligenaceae
Description: bacterial SSU rRNA
Rfam family: Bacterial small subunit ribosomal RNA
Source: RNAcentral